UGCAAAACAGCUCUCCAGGGUGACUGGUUUUUAUCCAAAAAGCCUGCAGUACAGCUGGUUGGAGGGAGCUAGCCCCUUUUAACCCUCCCACAAAACUGGCAUUUCUCAGCAGGUCUGUGGAUCCUGCUUUCCAGCUGGAUUUCAUGGGAGAGGAGAGCAGCCAGCAUCCCCUGAUGACACCAAACCCCUUCCCAAGAUUUUUUCUUCUGCCACAGCGCUGCCAUGAGCAGGAGUUUGUUGUGAGCAUCCCAACACACCUCUCAGCCAGCUCCUUCCUUGGCAGCACUGGAUUUCCUGAAGGUUGGAUCCACCUCUGUCUCUUGCUCUUCCCUUCCCUCUGCCCUUUCUGAGGAUGUUCCUGGCAGAAUAUGGGGAUGGGAAUCCACACUUUGCACUUGCUGCCAUUCCUGAAUCUGAAGAGAACUCAUGAAGAAGCAAGCACAAUAAUUUAUUGGUUCAAUUAAUAUGUCCAGAACUGAUUUCCUGCACUGACCAUAGCUUAAUGAAUAAUGUUCCCAGCAAAGUUUGCAGGUACAGCUCCAAACUGUGAUGGUCCUGUGGAGCACUGGCAGCAGUAAAACAUCCAACUGCUGGAUCCCUGGCUCCCUCUUGGUGUCUCCCCUUCCCUGCAUCCCAGUCUGAAUGGGUCUCUGGGAUGAAUCAUACUCUUUUGCUGCUCAACACCAUUUUUAUUGGAAAGGAUUUACCAGCUGUGCAAUAGUGAGACUGGAAUGGUGUG
Long non-coding RNA from Melospiza georgiana, 739 nucleotides. RefSeq lists it as uncharacterized. NCBI's taxonomy places the organism in Eukaryota, Metazoa, Chordata, Aves, Passeriformes, Passerellidae. The record is from RefSeq and is a predicted model, not a curated record. The transcript is spliced from 6 exons.